This 60-nucleotide transfer RNA is filed under the name Illinigina sp. EMHAU-15062817. RNAcentral describes it as "tRNA-Ala". Lineage: Eukaryota; Metazoa; Arthropoda; Insecta; Hemiptera; Cicadellidae. The record is from RNAcentral.
AGGGAUGUAAUUAAUUAUAAUAUCUGUUUUGCAAUCAGAAAGUGCAUUUUGCCUUCCUUU